CACGUGAGUACUACCUUCGAGCGGGGGACUACAUCUGGAAACGGAUGCUAAUACCGCAUAAGACACAGUACCGCAUGGUACAGUGGCCAAAGGAUUUAUCCACUUGAAGAUGGACUCGCGUCCGAUUAGCUAGAUGGUGAGGUAAUGGCCCACCAUGGCAACGAUCGGUAGCCGGACUGAGAGGUUGAACGGCCACAUUGGGACUGAGACACGGCCCAGACUCCUACGGGAGGCAGCAGUGGGGAAUAUUGCACAAUGGGCGAAAGCCUGAUGCAGCGACGCCGCGUGAGGGAAGAAGGUUUUCGGAUUGUAAACCUCUGUCUUCGGGGACGAUAAUGACGGUACCCGAGGAGGAAGCCACGGCUAACUACGUGCCAGCAGCCGCGGUAAAACGUAGGUGGCAAGCGUUGUCCGGAAUUACUGGGUGUAAAGGGAGCGCAGGCGGAAUGGCAAGUUGAAUGUGAAAACUAUGGGCUCAACCCAUAGACUGCGUUCAAAACUGCUGUUCUUGAGUGAUGUAGAGGUAGGCGGAAUUCCCGGUGUAGCGGUGGAAUGCGUAGAUAUCGGGAGGAACACCAGUGGCGAAGGCGGCCUACUGGGCAUCAACUGACGCUGAGGCUCGAAAGUAUGGGGAGCAAACAGGAUUAGAUACCCUGGUAGUCCAUACCGUAAACGAUGAUUACUAGGUGUGGGGGGAUAGACCCCCUCCGUGCCGCAACUAACGCAAUAAGUAAUCCACCUGGGGAGUAC
RNAcentral lists this ribosomal RNA (750 nucleotides) under uncultured bacterium. RNAcentral describes it as "bacterial SSU rRNA". It matches the Rfam family "Bacterial small subunit ribosomal RNA", at positions 114 to 883 of the family's 1533-position model. The record is from RNAcentral.